UGGGAUUAGAUACCCCACUAUGCUCAGCCGUAAACUCAGACAUUCAACUACGAUUAAAUGUCCGCCAGGGUACAAGCACCAGCUUAAAACCCAAAAGACCUGACGGUGUCCAAGCCCCCCAAGAGGAGCCUGUUUCAG
This 138-nucleotide ribosomal RNA is filed under the name Tor tambroides (Thai mahseer). Its description in RNAcentral is "partial 12S ribosomal RNA". Lineage: Eukaryota; Metazoa; Chordata; Actinopteri; Cypriniformes; Cyprinidae. The record is from RNAcentral.